RNAcentral lists this transfer RNA (72 nucleotides) under Clostridium cochlearium. RNAcentral's name for it is "tRNA_Gln_TTG". It matches the Rfam family "tRNA". Rfam says of the family: Transfer RNA (tRNA) molecules are approximately 80 nucleotides in length. Their secondary structure includes four short double-helical elements and three loops (D, anti-codon, and T loops). Further hydrogen bonds mediate the characteristic L-shaped molecular structure. tRNAs have two regions of fundamental functional importance: the anti-codon, which is responsible for specific mRNA codon recognition, and the 3' end, to which the tRNAs corresponding amino acid is attached (by aminoacyl-tRNA synthetases). tRNAs cope with the degeneracy of the genetic code in two manners: having more than one tRNA (with a specific anti-codon) for a particular amino acid; and 'wobble' base-pairing, i.e. permitting non-standard base-pairing at the 3rd anti-codon position. RNAcentral also lists the same sequence under 1 other name. The record is from RNAcentral. Lineage: Bacteria; Bacillati; Bacillota; Clostridia; Eubacteriales; Clostridiaceae.
UGGGAUGUCGCCAAGUGGUAAGGCACGGGACUUUGACUUCCGCAUUCGUAGGUUCGAAUCCUGCCAUCCCAG